RNAcentral lists this transfer RNA (75 nucleotides) under bacterium. RNAcentral describes it as "tRNA-Gln". It matches the Rfam family "tRNA". From Rfam's summary of the family: Transfer RNA (tRNA) molecules are approximately 80 nucleotides in length. Their secondary structure includes four short double-helical elements and three loops (D, anti-codon, and T loops). RNAcentral also lists the same sequence under 2 other names. The record is from RNAcentral.
UGGGAUAUAGUCAAGCGGUAAGACAACGGUCUCUGAAAUCGUGAUGCCUUGGUUCGAAUCCAAGUAUCCCAGCCA